GCUGGUAUCUAUUACGGUGAGGUCCCACCCGUUCCCAUCCCGAACACGGAAGUUAAGCUCACCAGUGCCGAAAAUACUUGGCGGGAAGCUGCCCGGAAAGAUAGGUCUUUGCCAGCA
Molecule: ribosomal RNA, 117 nt
Filed under: Angelakisella sp.
Lineage: Bacteria; Bacillati; Bacillota; Clostridia; Eubacteriales; Oscillospiraceae
Source: RNAcentral